Long non-coding RNA from Uranotaenia lowii, 591 nucleotides. RefSeq lists it as uncharacterized. The transcript is spliced from 4 exons. Lineage: Eukaryota; Metazoa; Arthropoda; Insecta; Diptera; Culicidae. The record is from RefSeq and is a predicted model, not a curated record.
ACUGACUUUCGAUACCGAAAGUGCCAUUGAACGCACUCGCGCAAUGACAGCAGGAGAAUUCGAAGAUGCGUUCGAAUGUGUAGGUGAGAAGUGAGUUCAGGAGUAUAGGCGGGAAAAAUAAAUCGAGAUAGAUUGUAAACAAAACAAAGAUUGUGGAAUUUCAAUGCAAGUAGUAUCGUUUGGUGAUCAGAAGAAAAUUAAAGCUAAGUUCGCAGUGGUUAUUGUUGAGUUUGAAUACUUACCCUAAAUUUACGUGCUAAGGCAUUUGCAACUUUAGUACGAAGGCGCGAAGUGAAACUGCGCAGGGAAGUUGAGCACAGGCUACAAUACCACGCAACGAAGCGUUUUCAAUUAGGAAUCGCCAGAUUGAACCGAAAUCGAAUUGAGGUGUAGGGACUAGCAGCGGAAAAUAGCUGGAAUCGAGACGGAAGUAAGCGAUAGGAAGUUCACUAAACGUAAGCUUGAAAAUUGUUCUUAGUGUAUUCCAAAAUUAAUUUGUAUUCAAAUCGUAGGAAUUUAAAACGUGUCCCGGUAGAGCUUCGAACGGACAAAUAAAAGGGAACGUUACGAAUCCGAAAACAAACUUUCGUU